GAUGAACGCUGGCGGCGUGCCUAAUACAUGCAAGUCGAGCGAACAGACGAGGAGCUUGCUCCUCUGACGUUAGCGGCGGACGGGUGAGUAACACGUGGAUAACCUACCUAUAAGACUGGGAUAACUUCGGGAAACCGGAGCUAAUACCGGAUAACAUGUUGAACCGCAUGGUUCAACAGUGAAAGACGGUUUUGCUGUCACUUAUAGAUGGAUCCGCGUCGCAUUAGCUAGUUGGUAAGGUAACGGCUUACCAAGGCAACGAUGCGUAGCCGACCUGAGAGGGUGAUAGGCCACCCUGGAACUGAGACACGGUCCAGACUCCUACGGGAGGCAGCAGUAGGGAAUCUUCCGCAAUGGGCGAAAGCCUGACGGAGCAACGCCGCGUGAGUGAAGAAGGUCUUCGGAUCGUAAAACUCUGUUAUUAGGGAAGAACAAAUGUGUAAGUAACUAUGCACGUCUUGACGGUACCUAAUCAGAAAGCCACGGCUAACUACGUG
Molecule: ribosomal RNA, 497 nt
Filed under: uncultured bacterium
Lineage: Bacteria
Description: partial 16S ribosomal RNA
Rfam family: Bacterial small subunit ribosomal RNA
Source: RNAcentral